GGUCGAGAUGCAACACCAUAUUUAGAAAGAAAUCGGGUUGGUCGUGAUGCCAUCGAUUCAGCAGCUGCUUUAACCGACAUGGGCAAAUAUCUGUUCCGAGAACGUCGACUACCAGUUUAUGAUAUUGCAGUUGCGAUAACAAAGUAUGAUAUGUGUCGCAGAAGAAAAGGUGGCCGAUGCACAAAAGGAACAGCGGGUAACCAUCUAAAUUUCCAAGCCCAAAUGAGAUAAAAACUAAAUAAUCAGCAAAUAACAAUCUGCAUUUAGUUUAACUUUUGGUGGUUUUAAUUUGUUUUUUUUUUUUCAACUGUAAUAGCUCAUCUGAUUUAUAUAGGUUGUGUUUUUUUGUCAAUUCUGAUAGUAGAUAGUGGGAAAAUUAGUUUGCAUAUAAGAGUCGUUGAAUAUCUUAACAGCAUUGGCUUUAUUUUUUUACUAAAUGCCAUAAUUCAAGUGCAUUGGUAGUCAUUUUUCAUUGCUUAAACGAUAUUUAUUCAUGAUCAAAUAAAACAUUCAUUACGACAUGUGCAACAAUGAUGCAAAUACAGCGCGAGUAACAUUCUGAUAAAAAUGUUAUUGUUAGUGUUGCACUACCCCGAUGGCGAUGGUAAUAAUAAACUUUAUUAAACUUUUAUGGAUUCUUCAGUUGAGAAAAUAUUAAUAUUUUUUGCCAUAAAAUCGUUGAUCAAAUUCAUUUCGAAUCGAGCAAUUCCAAUUUAUUCAGAGGUGCUACAGACAAUAUUGUUUUUCAAGUCAAAGUUCAUUAAUCGUUAGUAAAUGGUAUGAAACAAUUAUAUAAAAAUUGAUUAUCUUUUUUGCCUCUAGAUGAAACAAUAUCAACCAAAACGUUUGAAUUAUAUCAUUGAUUAUGAUGCAAUUAUAUUUAUAGCAAAAAGAAAGAAAAAGCCUAUUUAAAGUCGGCAGUCAAGUUCAACAGUCCAUAUCGAAAUUCCGAUUACUUCAGUUUCAAUUUCAUCGAAUGUCUUACGUAGAAACUUAUGUCACAGCUCUCUCAAUUUCUUUAUUUGCUUCAUGUGCUACAUGUAUCUUUUGUAUUAUUUUUUUUUAUUAUUAAGUAACGUUCGCACUAACAACGGAAUUCCAUAAAUGAAUGAUCCCAAUUGUUAUAGUUUAGCCGUGUGCAAUCAACAUAUGCGAGAGCGAACGCAGUAAAAUCGCAUACGGAAGUGAAUCGGCGAUAACUAGGAUUACGUAAUAUUAUGUGGUUUAACUAAAAAAAAAAAUUAACCAUUUACCUUUCGUAGAAUUUUGCCAAAACAAUAUAUAGUCUGGGUGGAAUUUUAAUUGAAUUUUCAAAUAAUAAUUGUGAUUAGAUAGAUUAAAAAAAAUUUAAAUCUGGAAUUAACAAAAACAAAAAAAAUUCUUUGGUUUUUUCCUAAUGUCAAACAUAAUAUUUCUAAUUUGAUCCAAAUGAAAUGAAUGAUGAAAUAGGUUAGUUGUAAGAGCUUUGGAUAAAAAUCAGAUUAAAAUAUCUCAA
This is a long non-coding RNA of Sitodiplosis mosellana (orange wheat blossom midge), 1495 nucleotides long. RefSeq lists it as uncharacterized. Lineage: Eukaryota; Metazoa; Arthropoda; Insecta; Diptera; Cecidomyiidae. The transcript has 2 exons. The record is from RefSeq and is a predicted model, not a curated record.